GCCCCGGUAACCCAACUGGCAGAGGUCAUCGGCUCAAACCCGAUGAGGUGUGGGUUCGAAUCCCACCCGGGGCA
RNAcentral lists this transfer RNA (74 nucleotides) under Streptosporangiales bacterium. It matches the Rfam family "tRNA". From Rfam's summary of the family: Transfer RNA (tRNA) molecules are approximately 80 nucleotides in length. Their secondary structure includes four short double-helical elements and three loops (D, anti-codon, and T loops). The record is from Rfam by way of RNAcentral. Lineage: Bacteria; Bacillati; Actinomycetota; Actinomycetes; Streptosporangiales.